UGGGGCGUCGUCCAGAGGUAGGACUCGGGGCUUUGGACCCCGCAACGGAGGUUCGAUCCCUCCCGCCCCAGCCA
This 74-nucleotide transfer RNA is filed under the name Candidatus Rokuibacteriota bacterium. RNAcentral describes it as "Candidatus Rokubacteria bacterium tRNA-Gln". It matches the Rfam family "tRNA". Rfam says of the family: Transfer RNA (tRNA) molecules are approximately 80 nucleotides in length. Their secondary structure includes four short double-helical elements and three loops (D, anti-codon, and T loops). Lineage: Bacteria; Candidatus Rokuibacteriota. The record is from RNAcentral. RNAcentral also lists the same sequence under 2 other names.